UACGUAGGGUGCGAGCGUUAAUCGGAAUUACUGGGCGUAAAGUGUGCGCAGGCGGCCGAGCAAGUCGAGUGUGAAAGCCCCGAGCUUAACUUGGGAACUGCGCUCGAAACUACUUGGCUAGAGUGUGGCAGAGGGAGGUGGAAUUCCACGUGUAGCGGUGAAAUGCGUAGAGAUGUGGAGGAACACCGAUGGCGAAGGCAGCCUCCUGGGCCAACACUGACGCUCAUGCACGAAAGCGUGGGGAACAAACAGG
This 253-nucleotide ribosomal RNA is filed under the name uncultured bacterium. RNAcentral describes it as "partial 16S ribosomal RNA". It matches the Rfam family "Bacterial small subunit ribosomal RNA", at positions 524 to 776 of the family's 1533-position model. The record is from RNAcentral.